RNAcentral lists this ribosomal RNA (420 nucleotides) under uncultured archaeon. RNAcentral describes it as "bacterial SSU rRNA". It matches the Rfam family "Archaeal small subunit ribosomal RNA", at positions 459 to 879 of the family's 1478-position model. The record is from RNAcentral.
CAGCCGCCGCGGUAAUACCAGCUCCCCGAGUGGUCGGGGCGUUUAUUGGGCCUAAAGCGCCCGUAGCCGGCUCGACAUGUCUCCCGUUAAAUCCAUCGGCUCAACCGAUGGGCCGCGGGGGAUACUGCCGGGCUAGGAGGCGGGAGAGGCCGAGGGUACUCCCGGGGUAGGGGUAAAAUCCUCUGAUCCCGGGAAGACCACCAGUGGCGAAGGCGCUCGGCCAGAACACGCUCGACGGUGAGGGGCGAAAGCUGGGGGAGCAAACCGGAUUAGAUACCCGGGUAGUCCCAGCUGUAAACGAUGCGGGCUAGGUGCUGGAGGGGCUACGGGCCCCUCCAGUGCCGCAGGGAAGCCGUUAAGCCCGCCGCCUGGGGAGUACGGCCGCAAGGCUGAAACUUAAAGGAAUUGGCGGGGGAGCAC